UUACUUUUACCACCACACAGAACCUUCAUCAAAGCUCACUUCAUUUUUUUCAUUUUGCCUCUUCGAAUAACUGACUCUGUUCUCUUCGUUUCCCUCAUUCAAUAACCAAUCACACAUCAUGUCUCGCUUAAUCCACUCCAGAUUAUCACCAUCCAGAUUAUCGAAUACAUUGGGAUCAACUGGAAGAAGAAGGUAUUUUUCAACUGAUUCUAAUAAGAUUGAUGAGCCACUUAAAGUAGAGGAAGCUGAAAUAGUACAGACUACACCUCCUCUGGUAGAAAAGAAACUGCUGCAAGGGAGACACUAGAACAAGUUAUGGCAGAAGCUCUUUCAAAAUCAGGUUGUAGUUGGUCUGUUGUUCGUGCAAUUUGCUUAGCUGUGUCGGGAGUCAACCAUCCAACCGACCAGCAACGGAUUUUGGAUUGGUUGAGGUCAGAUUUCUACGGUUUAACUUGCUUGAUACACCUUCCCCUUUGAACUAACUUUAUAUUUCUUUGACCAUGAUACACGCUCCAAUAAAUAAGUCAAUGAGUCGAAAUUACCACCUGUAGGUGGUUCUGGCAAUAGAUGCUUUUUUGUGUUGAUAUCAUUUUUGCCACUUGAUCCCUACAUGUGAUCCAUAAUCUUAAAGUGAAUACGUAGACACUGUCUUAUGUUUUUUUCUUUUUUUUUUUUGUUUCCAUAAUCAGUGAUAUAUUCGCGAGCGAUGUUGAAUUUUUUGUUGAGAAUGAUGCGGUGGCAGCGUUGGCUAGUU
Helianthus annuus (common sunflower) is the source of this 754-nucleotide long non-coding RNA. RefSeq lists it as uncharacterized. Lineage: Eukaryota; Viridiplantae; Streptophyta; Magnoliopsida; Asterales; Asteraceae. The record is from RefSeq and is a predicted model, not a curated record. The transcript is spliced from 3 exons.